CGGACAGUGUCUGGUGGGUAGUUUGACUGGGGCGGUCUCCUCCUAAAGAGUAACGGAGGAGCACGAAGGUUGGCUAAUCCUGGUCGGACAUCAGGAGGUUAGUGCAAUGGCAUAAGCCAGCUUGACUGCGAGCGUGACGGCGCGAGCAGGUGCGAAAGCAGGUCAUAGUGAUCCGGUGGUUCUGAAUGGAAGGGCCAUCGCUCAACGGAUAAAAGGUACUCCGGGGAUAACAGGCUGAUACCGCCCAAGAGUUCAUAUCGACGGCGGUGUUUGGCACCUCGAUGUCGGCUCAUCACAUCCUGGGGCUGAAGUAGGUCCCAAGGGUAUGGCUGUUCGCCAUUUAAAGUGGUACGCGAGCUGGGUUUAGAACGUCGUGAGACAGUUCGGUCCCUAUCUGCCGUGGGCGCUGGAGAACUGAGGGGGGCUGCUCCUAGUACGAGAGGACCGGAGUGGACGCAUCACUGGUGUUCGGGUUGUCAUGCCAAUGGCACUGCCCGGUAGCUAAAUGCGGAAGAGAUAAGUGCUGAAAGCAUCUAAGCACGAAACUUGCCCCGAGAUGAGUUCUCCCUGAGACUUAGAGUCUCCUGAAGGAACGUUGAAGACGACGACGUUGAUAGGCCGGGUGUGUAAGCGCAGCGAUGCGUUGAGCUAACCGGUACUAAUGAACCGUGAGGCUUAA
Molecule: ribosomal RNA, 679 nt
Filed under: Salmonella enterica subsp. enterica serovar Newport
Lineage: Bacteria; Pseudomonadati; Pseudomonadota; Gammaproteobacteria; Enterobacterales; Enterobacteriaceae
Description: partial 23S ribosomal RNA
Rfam family: Bacterial large subunit ribosomal RNA
Source: RNAcentral